Molecule: ribosomal RNA, 253 nt
Filed under: uncultured bacterium
Lineage: Bacteria
Description: partial 16S ribosomal RNA
Rfam family: Bacterial small subunit ribosomal RNA
Source: RNAcentral
UACGUAGGGACCAAGCGUUGUUCGGAUUUACUGGGCGUAAAGGGCGCGUAGGCGGCGUGUUAAGUCAGCUGUGAAAUCUCCAAGCUUAACUUGGAACGGUCAGCUGAUACUGAUGUGCUAGAGUGCAGAAGGGGCAAUCGGAAUUCUUGGUGUAGCGGUGAAAUGCGUAGAUAUCAAGAGGAACACCUGAGGUGAAGACGGGUUGCUGGGCUGACACUGACGCUGAGGCGCGAAAGCUAGGGGAGCGAACGGG